RNAcentral lists this ribosomal RNA (253 nucleotides) under uncultured bacterium. RNAcentral describes it as "partial 16S ribosomal RNA". It matches the Rfam family "Bacterial small subunit ribosomal RNA", at positions 524 to 776 of the family's 1533-position model. The record is from RNAcentral.
UACGUAGGUGGCAAGCGUUGUCCGGAAUUAUUGGGCGUAAAGCGCGCGCAGGGGGUUUCUUAAGUCUGAUGUGAAAGCCCACGGCUCAACCGUGGAGGGUCAUUGGAAACUGGGGAACUUGAGUGCAGAAGAGGAAAGUGGAAUUCCAAGUGUAGCGGUGAAAUGCGUAGAGAUUUGGAGGAACACCAGUGGCGAAGGCGACUUUCUGGUCUGUAACUGACACUGAGGCGCGAAAGCGUGGGGAGCGAACAGG